Long non-coding RNA from Hylaeus anthracinus, 1336 nucleotides. RefSeq lists it as uncharacterized. Lineage: Eukaryota; Metazoa; Arthropoda; Insecta; Hymenoptera; Colletidae. The transcript is spliced from 3 exons. The record is from RefSeq and is a predicted model, not a curated record.
AAGUGUCUGAAAGUGUCGAAACGUCGAGGAAUCUGAUACAACGAGCUACGAGGAACAUUCACUUACGAUGUUCGCAGAGGUCUAUCACUUCGCAUCGCAGAAGACGGAAUUGAAAAUAAUGACGCGGAGAGGAAGUGGCUCGUCUUCGAUCUACCCGAGGGUAAACGUAAUUCUUCCGGUGUGCGAUCGCUGGCGAUCCUAUCGGUGAUUCCUCGACGAGCGACUUUUAUUAGACAGCGAAAUAAAUUACAGCCGGCGGGUGAAGAGCUUAAUGAUUGCAACGAGCUGCAAUUCCGUCAUAUUACUCGAUACGACGCGAGCGGCCAGUGGGAACGGGAAUUCGCCGUGCGUGUCGCGGGGGCGACGAAAUCGCCAUUAUUUAACAAUUCGUGACCGUUUGCUUCAAUCUCGGCCCCACUGGCCUCGAAGGCUACCUCGUAGUUGCCUGUUAUGGCUCUGGGAGCAAUCGACCACGAUAACGACCAAAUUUUGGGACUCGCUUGUAAUCAGAGGUGGAACGUUUCUAAAGGGGCUCUUCCCAAGCCCCCGAGCCAGAAUGGACGCGUUCGCAGAGUACGUUCACACCAAUUGACCAGACCUUACCAUCGACUGGUGGCCAGGUCUCGCUGGAGGAUAGAUAGGACAUCCUCCUCGACUUUGGAGGCGGGUAUCUUCGAUUCGACGCGACCCAUCGCGACUACGGAGGUCUCUGCGGUCUCGCUUCUCCUGGGAACUGCGGAAAACUGUAUUUAACGCGGGAAGAGCCUGUGAUCGAUACCCCCGGGAGAGACCGAAAACGGGUCAUAAAGGAGCCCUGACCGCGAACACGUGGACUUAAGCUCUCCAAGACCCUCCGAACCGGUCUGUCCGACUCUAAUUUCCACUCCGACGAUCCGAGAAACUUCCGACCGUUGAGCUCCUGGCGAACGGUUGAUAACGUUGGAACGAGAGAUUUCUAUAAAAUUGUAGAAAUGGAGAUGAAACAACUGUUACUGAAAGGAUCAAUUCAGAAGACACGCGCGAUGCGUCCCAGAUUCUACAAUCACCCUGUACAUAGGAUGAACCAAUCAAGCUGCGUCACACGAGUAACAAGUGCACUCGUGGAGACCAGGAGCAUUUGAUACCAUGAGACACCAUGCGCAGGAAGCUUCACGUUUACAAGUGGAAGCGAGGAAAGCGAGAUCAAUGUUGGACUGCGACCUGGUCCGUUGAACGCAUGAUUACUUAAUCGAUAAGGAAGCUUAAAAGGAUCCUUAUCGUGUUCGUUUCAAUUUCAAAAUAAAUUUGUAAACAACGAAAGUGUAACUCCACGUACAUUCCUCGAUGACAAAUAAAA